GGCCGAGUGGCGGAAUGGCAGACGCAGGGGACUUAAAAUCCCUACUUGGGAUUCCAAGGUGUGGGUUCGACUCCCACCUCGGCCACCA
This 88-nucleotide transfer RNA is filed under the name Planctomycetota bacterium. RNAcentral's name for it is "tRNA-Leu". It matches the Rfam family "tRNA". From Rfam's summary of the family: Transfer RNA (tRNA) molecules are approximately 80 nucleotides in length. The record is from RNAcentral. Lineage: Bacteria; Pseudomonadati; Planctomycetota.